Molecule: unclassified non-coding RNA, 574 nt
Filed under: Hevea brasiliensis (rubber tree)
Lineage: Eukaryota; Viridiplantae; Streptophyta; Magnoliopsida; Malpighiales; Euphorbiaceae
Source: RNAcentral
AAAACAGAGAGGAAGAGCCUAGUGAGCGUCUUCCUCCUCGCAGUGCUUGGUGUACUUGGCCGGGUCCAGCAGGGCGUCCAGCUCCGACGGGCUGCUCGGCUUCACCUUGAUCAUCCACCCGUCCUCGUACGGGCUUGAGUUAAUCAGGCCGGGUGUCUCAGAGAGCUUGUCGUUAACCUCGACGACCUCACCGGAGAUGGGGGAGUUGAUGUCGCUGGUGGCCUUCACACUCUCCACGUUGCCGAAUGCACCUCCCUGGCUCACCUUCGCCCCCGCCUCCGGCAGCUCCACGAACACCACCUCUCCCAGAUGGCCCUGAGCAUGGUCUGUAAUUCCAAUUGUGGCCACAGAGCCAUCAUUCUUGACCCACUCAUGAGAGGAGCUGUACUUCAACCCAUCAAGAACAGUGGAGAAGUAUCUGGAGAUUGAGUAGGCAGGUGCAGCCCUGGUGGCUCCACUGCAUGAGAUCUUGAGGGCAUUGGCAGCUGAGCUAGCCCACAGCCUCAGAGCCAUUUCUGUGCCAAUUUCUUGCUUGUUACCAAAGUAUCUGUGUUCUUCUUUUUUCCUUCUCCUA